GACGAACGCUUGCGGCGUGCCUAAGAAAUGCAAGUCGAGCGGAGAAGUAGCAAUACUUCUUAGCGGCGAACGGUCGCGUAACACGUAAGCAACCUGCCGAAAAGACCGGGACAACAUCUCGAAAGGGGUGCUAAUACCGGAUGUGGCCACUUUCUCGCAUGGGAGAGUGAUUAAACCGAGCAAUCGGCUUUUCGAGGGGCUUGCGGCCUAUCAGCUAGAUGGUGGGGUAACGGCCUACCAUGGCGACGACGGGUAGCUGGUCUGAGAGGACGGCCAGCCGGACUGGGACUGAGAUACGGCCCAGACUCCUACGGGGGGCAGCAAUUAGGAAUCUUGCACAAUGGGCGAAAGCCUGAUGCAGCGACGCCGCGUGGAGGA
Molecule: ribosomal RNA, 378 nt
Filed under: uncultured bacterium
Lineage: Bacteria
Description: bacterial SSU rRNA
Rfam family: Bacterial small subunit ribosomal RNA
Source: RNAcentral